GNGGGCNGCUAUACAUGCAAGUCGAACGAAGACUGUAGUAAUACUGUCUUAGUGGCGAACGGGUGAGUAACGCGUGGGUGACCUGCCCCGAAGUGUGGGAUAACAGUCCGAAAGGAUUGCUAAUACUGCAUAAUAUCCAAGAGAUUAGAUGCUUUUGGAUUAAAGGAGUAAUUCGCUUCGGGAGGGGCCCGCGUCCCAUCAGCUAGUUGGUAAGGUAAUGGCUUACCAAGGCGAUGACGGGUAGGGGACCUGAGAGGGUGGCCCCCCACAAUGGAACUGAAACACGGUCCAUACACCUACGGGUGGCAGCAGUAGGGAAUAUUAGUAAUGGGCGAAAGCCUGAACUAGCAACGCCGCGUGUGCGAAGAAGGCCUUCGGGUCGUAAAGCACUUUUUGAGAGGAUGAGGAAGGACGGUACUCUCAGAAUAAGUCUCGGCUAACUACGUGCCAGCAGCCGCGGUAACACGUAGGAGGCAAACGUUAUCCGGAUUUACUGGGCGUAAAGCGCGUGUAGGUGGUUUGGUAAGUAGGGCGUGAAAGCUCCUGGCUCAACUGGGAGAGGACGUUCUAAACUGCCAAGCUUGAGGAUGGUAGAGGGAGGUGGAAUUCCGGGUGUAGCGGUGGAAUGCGCAGAUAUCCGGAGGAACACCAGUGGCGAAGGCGGCCUCCUGGACCACUCCUGACACUCAGACGCGAAAGCUAGGGUAGCANACGGGAUUAGAGACCCCGGUAGUCCUAGCCCUAAACGAUGUAGACUUGGCGUCGGUGGUUUAAUCGCCAUCGGUGUCGUAGCUAACGCGAUAAGUCUACCGCCUGGGGACUACGGCCCGCAAGGUUAAAACUCAUAGGAAUUGACGGGUCCCCGCACAAGCAGCGGAGCGUGUGGUUUAAUUCGAUGCUAACACGAAGAACCUUACCUGGGUUUGACAUAGAGGUAGUAGGGAAGCGAAAGC
This 953-nucleotide ribosomal RNA is filed under the name uncultured Chloroflexota bacterium. Its description in RNAcentral is "bacterial SSU rRNA". It matches the Rfam family "Bacterial small subunit ribosomal RNA", at positions 42 to 1008 of the family's 1533-position model. Lineage: Bacteria; Bacillati; Chloroflexota. The record is from RNAcentral.